UUGUAAAGCUUGUGCUGUCAGUCGUC
Molecule: non-coding RNA, 26 nt
Filed under: Rattus norvegicus (Norway rat)
Lineage: Eukaryota; Metazoa; Chordata; Mammalia; Rodentia; Muridae
Source: RNAcentral